GAUGAAGAACGUAGCGAAAUGCGAUAAGUAGUGUGAAUUGCAGAAUUCAGUGAAUCAUCGAAUCUUUGAACGCACAUUGCGCCCUUUGUUAUUCCUUAGGGCAUGCCUGUUCGAGCGUCAUUUAAACCUUCAAGCUCAGCUUGGUGUUGGGUGACUGUCCGCCGCCUCCGGGCGCGUGGACUCGCCUCAAAAUUAUUGGCGGCCGGUACAUUGGCUUCGAGCGCAGCAGAAACGCGAACUCGGGCCCGUCGUAUUGGCUCCCAGAAGCUAUCUUCACAAUUUUGACCUCGGAUCAGGUAGGGAUACCCGCUGAACUUAAGCAUAUCAAUAAGCGGAGGA
RNAcentral lists this unclassified non-coding RNA (339 nucleotides) under soil metagenome. RNAcentral's name for it is "partial contains 5.8S ribosomal RNA, internal transcribed spacer 2, and large subunit ribosomal RNA". The stretch from base 1 to 120 matches the Rfam family "5.8S ribosomal RNA", at positions 35 to 154 of the family's 154-position model. The record is from RNAcentral.